UACGUAGGUGGCGAGCGUUGUCCGGAUUUACUGGGCGUAAAGGAUGCGUAGGUGGAUAUUUAAGUGAGAUGUGAAAUACCCGAGCUUAACUUGGGUGCUGCAUUUCAAACUGGAUAUCUAGAGUGCAGGAGAGGAGAAUGGAAUUCCUAGUGUAGCGGUGAAAUGCGUAGAGAUUAGGAAGAACACCAGUGGCGAAGGCGAUUCUCUGGACUGUAACUGACACUGAGGCAUGAAAGCGUGGGUAGCAAGCAGG
This 253-nucleotide ribosomal RNA is filed under the name uncultured bacterium. RNAcentral describes it as "partial 16S ribosomal RNA". It matches the Rfam family "Bacterial small subunit ribosomal RNA", at positions 524 to 776 of the family's 1533-position model. The record is from RNAcentral.